AUGGUGUCGACGGCGCUGGACGCGAUGGCGGGGACGGCGUGGGGGCGGUGGCUGGGGCUGGUGGCGGCGGUGUGGGUGCAGUGCAUCUCGGGCAACAACUACACCUUCUCCAACUACUCCGACUCCAUCAAGACGCUCAUGGGCCUCACGCAGCUGCAGCUCAACGGCCUCUCCGUCGCCAAGGACGUCGGCAAGGCCUUCGGCCUGCUCGCGGGGCUCGCCUCCGACCGCCUCCCCACCUGGCUCCUCCUCGCCAUCGGCUCCCUCGAGGGCUUCCUCGGCUACGGCGCGCAGUGGCUCGUCGUCUCCAAAACAAUCUCGCCGCUGCCCUACUGGCAGAUGUGCGUCUGCCUCUGCCUCGGCGGCAACUCCACCACCUGGAUGAACACCGCCGUGCUCGUCACCUGCAUCCGCAACUUCCGGGGCAGCAGGGGCCCCGUCUCGGGGGUCCUCAAGGGCUACGUCGGGCUCAGCACCGCGAUAUUCACCGACGUCUGCUCCGCGCUCUUCGCCGACGACCCGGCCUCCUUCCUCGUCAUGCUCGCCGUCGUGCCCGCCGCCGUCUGCGCCGUCGCCAUGGUGUUCCUCCGCGAGGGCCGCGUGGCCAGCGCCGACUCGGGCGGGGACGAGGCCGACGCGCGCGGCUUCGCGGCCAUCAGCACGCUCGCCGUCGCCAUCGCGCUCUACCUCCUGGCGGCCGACCUCACGGGCGUGGGCGGCGGCGGGGGGCUCGUCUCCACCGUCUUCGUGGCCGUGCUUAUGGUGCUCCUCGCCGCGCCCGCCGCCGUGCCCGCGUACGUGGGCUGGACGUCCUGGAUGAAGUCCCGCAAGGCGGCCAACGCCGACGCCGAGGACGCGGCCGCCCCCCUGCUGCUCGACUCCAAGGAGGCGACGCAGCCGCAGGGCAACGGGGAGGCGGAGGAGGCUCGCGGGCCGCGGCUGGGGGAGGAGCACACGAUCGCGGAGGCGCUGUGGUCGGUGGACUUCUGGGUGCUCUUCUCGUCGUUCCUGAUGGGCGUGGGCACGGGGCUGGCGGUGAUGAACAACCUGGGGCAGAUGGGCGUGGCCAUGGGCUACACCGACGUGUCCAUCUUCGUCUCCAUGACCAGCAUAUGGGGCUUCUUCGGCCGCCUCGCCUCCGGCACCAUCUCCGAGCACUUCAUCAAGACGAGGGCGCUGCCGCGGCCGGUGUGGAACGCGGCGUCGCAGGUGCUCAUGUGCGCGGGGUACGUGGUGAUGGCCUUCGGCAUGCCGGGGUCCCUCUUCGUGGGGUCGGUGGUGGUGGGCGUCUGCUACGGUGUGCGGCUGGCGGUCACCGUGCCCACGGCGUCGGAGCUGUUCGGCCUCAAGUACUACGGCCUCAUCUACAACAUCCUCAUCCUCAACCUGCCGCUGGGAUCCUUCCUCUUCUCGGGCCUCCUGGCGGGGCUCCUCUACGACGCGGAGGCCACCAAGGUGCCCGGCGGCGGCAACACCUGCUCCGGCGCGCACUGCUACCGCCUCGUCUUCGUCGUCAUGGCCGCCGCCUGCGUCGUCGGCUUCGGCCUCGACGUGCUCCUCAGCCUCAGGACCAGGCGGGUCUACGCCAAGAUCCACCAGGCCAAGCGGGCCAAGAGGUCGGCCGCCGCCGCGCAGAGGGUGAGCUAA
This 1647-nucleotide ribosomal RNA is filed under the name Triticum aestivum (bread wheat). Its description in RNAcentral is "partial small subunit ribosomal RNA". The record is from RNAcentral. Lineage: Eukaryota; Viridiplantae; Streptophyta; Magnoliopsida; Poales; Poaceae.